Long non-coding RNA from Branchiostoma floridae (Florida lancelet), 1596 nucleotides. RefSeq lists it as uncharacterized. Lineage: Eukaryota; Metazoa; Chordata; Leptocardii; Amphioxiformes; Branchiostomatidae. The transcript has 3 exons. The record is from RefSeq and is a predicted model, not a curated record.
GCCCCCGCUGGGAGUGACAGCAGAGGGUGCCAUGGGGCCAUUGGACAGCAGAGAAAAAAGGGGACUAUUAUAAUUGUUUUUACUCUCUGAUUAAAGGGUAUCUUAACAGAGUACAUUCAAUCUACAUAGGUGCAUUUGCUCUCUUUAUCUUUUUAGGGCCAUUCAAUUUUUACAGGUGCAUUUACUAUCUUACGAAGCUUACUUAACGAAGGUGCAUGUGCUUAACAAUGGUGCAUGUGCUCGACAGAGGUGCAUGUGCUUAACAAUGGUGCAUGUGCUCGACAGAGGUGCAUGUGCUGGACAAAGGUGCGUAUGCUGGACAAACGUGCAUGUGCUUGGCAGGUGCAUGUGCUUGGCAGGUGCAUGUGCUUGGCAAGUGCAUGUGCUUGGCAGGUGCAUGUGCUUGGCAGGUGCAUGUGCUUGGCAGGUGCAUGUGCUUGGCAGGUGCAUGUGCUUGGCAGGUGCAUGUGCUUGACACUGACAGGUGCAUGUGCUUGACAGAGGUGCAUUUACUCUCUCAAGGUGCAUUUACUUUAAAGAGGUGAUUUACUUCACAAAAGCACAUUUACUCUCUUCAAGUAAAUUUACUUAAUAAAGGUACAUUUACCCUCUUAAGAUGCAAGGGUGAAGUUACAUAUGUACCUUCAAUGCAAAGAUAGCUUGUAUCUUUAGAAAAUAGCUGCCUAGAAAUCUACUAAAGAUGAAGUUAAAACUUUUACCUGAUGGCCCACGGCUCCGGUAGGCCCUCUUAUCAGACCCGUCACUCUAUUUGCCCCUCCAGGCUACUGUCGGACCCGCUGCUCCGUUGGCCCCUCCUGUUGGUCUCAAGGAUCUGGCUAUCCCUCUUGUCCAUCCCAAGGCCUGGACCACCCUUCCUGUUGGCCCCGUGGCUCUAGGUACCUCUCCUGUCUGCCCCCGCUGGGAGCGACAGCAGAGGGUGCCAUGGGGCCAUUGGACAGCAGAGAAAAAAGGGGACUAUUAUAAUUGUUUUUACUCUCUAUUAAAGGGUAUCUUAACAGAGUACAUUCAAUCUACAUAGGUGCAUUUACUAUCUAACGAAGCUUACUUAACGAAGGUGCAUGUGCUUAACAAAGGUGCAAGUGCUCGACAGAGGUGCAUGUGAUGGACAAAGGUGCGUAUGCUGGACAAACGUGCAUGUGCUUGGUAGGUGCAUGUGCUUGGCAGGUGCAUGUGCUUGGCAGGUGCAUGUGCUUGGCAGGUGCAUGUGCUUGGCAAGUGCAUGUGCUUGGCAGGUGCAUGUGCUUGGCAGGUGCAUGUGCUUGGCAGGUGCAUGUGCUUGGCAGGUGCAUGUGCUUGGCAGGUGCAUGUGCUUGACACUGACAGGUGCAUGUGCUUGACACUGACAGGUGCAUGUGCUUGACAGAGGUGCAUUUACUCUCUCAAGGUGCAUUUACUUUAAAGAGGUGAUUUACUUCACAAAAGCACAUUUACUCUCUUCAAGUAAAUUUACUUAAUAAAGGUACAUUUACCCUCUUAAGAUGCAAGGGUGAAGUUACAUAUGUACCUUCAAUGCAAAGAUAGCUUGUAUCUUUAGAAAAUAGCUGCCUAGAAAUCUACUAAAGAUGAAGUUAAAAC